UAAGACAGAGGGUGCAAACGUUGUUCGGAAUUACUGGGCGUAAAGCGCGUGUAGGCAGCUUGGCAAGUCGGGUGUGAAAGCCCUGGGCUCAACCUAGGAAGUGCACUCGAAACUGCUUCGCUUGAGUAUCGGAGAGGAAAGCGGAAUUCUCGGUGUAGAGGUGAAAUUCGUAGAUAUCGAGAGGAACACCAGUGGCGAAGGCGGCUUUCUGGACGAUCACUGACGCUGAGACGCGAAAGCGUGGGGAGCAAACAGGAUUAGAUACCCUGGUAGUCCACGCCGUAAACGAUGGGUGCUAGGUGUCGCGGGCUUUGACUCCUGCGGUGCCGUAGCUAACGCAUUAAGCACCCCGCCUGGGGAGUACGGCCGCAAGGCUA
RNAcentral lists this ribosomal RNA (377 nucleotides) under uncultured bacterium. RNAcentral describes it as "bacterial SSU rRNA". It matches the Rfam family "Bacterial small subunit ribosomal RNA", at positions 521 to 896 of the family's 1533-position model. The record is from RNAcentral.